GUAAAGUACAGAGAGAAAGGAAGAGAUUCACCACUAGCCUUCAAUAAAUCAUCUCUCCCAAAAUGGCAAACAACUAUAAAAAUGUUGCAGUAUUGUAUCUUUUGUGCAUUUUAGCUUAUAUGGUAGCUUUUCAGUUAUGUAAAGCGGAUAACGACCUUCAGAAAGGAGACGUUUAUAAACAAUGUUUGAAAGAAUGCGAUGACAAAUGAAAAGCAGAUGGAAAUGGCGAAGUCUUUUGUCACGCAAAAUGUUCUAAACCUUGUGAGUAGCAGCAAAAAGAUGAAAUUCACCGCAAUCAAGGACACGGCAACUUACCUUCAUAGAAGUAUCAGUAAGGCAACAAUGAACCGUAUACAAAGCACUAAUGCCGGCUUAGUUUCAUUGUUUGGCAUCUUCAUGCUGGCCUUGUAUCACUAAUUAAGAAAGGAAAAUAUAUAAAUAGAAUGAAGAAUAUACAUACAGGUAGAUGGAAAAAAAGAAAAUGGAAGUUCAAAAAACAAAGAAUUACAAGAAGAUGGACUGCCGAUCAGAUAACAUCGUAUUGGAGAAGUUCAAGUGAACUCUGCGAGAAGAUGGCCUGUCAAUUUAUUUGUUUGUAUAUAAUGAAAUUAUUUUUAUUUGUUUUUGUCGCAGUUGAUGCAUACGGAUGACAAUAACAGGCUCGAUCUUCUGCCUCUGGUCAUCAGAUUUAUGUGUCGACGUACUGUUGCACUUCGAAGGCUAUCAUAGCUAGAAGUCUAGACUGUUAUCUUGCUACUUAAUUAAUUGUAUCUUCUUUGAGUUUUUUCCAGACAUGUAACUGUAUAAACUAUGAUUUGGUUUGGAGAUCGAAUUACCAUCCGGAUAUUGCACAAAAGAAAGAAGGGUAGAACAUGAUGCAUGGGCAAUUCUUCUUUGCAGUUUGCUCGCAAUCUUCACCUGGUUGAUGAUUUUCCAUGCAUUCCCUGUGCUUCAAUUCAUAGCAUGCGUUAUAUCCUAUAGGUCCCCAAGGAAAUGAAACCUUUGGCAGUUUCCGUCCUUUGGGAUGAUUACUUGAAGCCGCGUCCAAUCCUAUAUGUUCAUCACGAUUAGCCGUUGUUACCAUAUCGGAAGAAAAUGCCAUGAACAUCACUAACAUCAUUACCAUGAUUACGGUCAUUGCUGGGUUAAAACUUAUCAUUCCCAUCUUCAUAUGUCAGCAAGCCUACAGAGAAUGUAUACUGGUGAACAAGAGAAUAUUGGUGGUGUCUGUUGGCUACAAAGAUUUCUCUAUUUAUAGAUAUUUUAAAACAAAUAUAACUAUGUAAUGAUCGAAUGAAUUAAAGAAAGAUAUUAAUUCUACCA
Molecule: long non-coding RNA, 1323 nt
Organism: Papaver somniferum (opium poppy)
Lineage: Eukaryota; Viridiplantae; Streptophyta; Magnoliopsida; Ranunculales; Papaveraceae
Exons: 3
Source: RefSeq, a predicted model, not a curated record